GACGAACGCUGGCGGCGUGCUUAACACAUGCAAGUCGAACGGAAAGGCCCUGCUUUUGUGGGGUGCUCGAGUGGCGAACGGGUGAGUAACACGUGAGUAACCUGCCCUUGACUUUGGGAUAACUUCAGGAACCUGGGGCUAAAACCGGAUAGGAGCUCCUGCGCCAUGGGGGGGGUUGGAAAGUUUCGGCGGUUGGGGAUGGACUCGCGGCUUAUCAGCUUGUUGGUGGGGUAGUGGCUUACCAAGGCUUUGACGGGUAGCCGGCCUGAGAGGGUGACCGGCCACAUUGGGACUGAGAUACGGCCCAGACUCCUACGGGAGGCAGCAGUGGGGAAUAUUGCACAAUGGGCGGAAGCCUGAUGCAGCAACGCCGCGUGCGGGAUGACGGCCUUCGGGUUGUAAACCGCUUUCGCCUGUGACGAAGCGUGAGUGACGGUAAUGGGUAAAGAAGCACCGGCUAACUACGUG
RNAcentral lists this ribosomal RNA (468 nucleotides) under uncultured bacterium. RNAcentral's name for it is "partial 16S ribosomal RNA". It matches the Rfam family "Bacterial small subunit ribosomal RNA", at positions 28 to 507 of the family's 1533-position model. The record is from RNAcentral.